This 460-nucleotide ribosomal RNA is filed under the name uncultured bacterium. RNAcentral describes it as "partial 16S ribosomal RNA". It matches the Rfam family "Bacterial small subunit ribosomal RNA", at positions 338 to 795 of the family's 1533-position model. The record is from RNAcentral.
CCUACGGGAGGCAGCAGUGAGGAAUAUUGGUCAAUGGCCGAGAGCCUGAACCAGCCAAGUCGCGUGAGGGAAGACGGCCCUACGGGUUGUAAACUUCUUUUGUCGGGGAGAAAAGCGAAGCACGUGUGGCUUUUUGCGUGUAUUUUAUGAAAAAGCAUCGGCUAACUCCGUGCCAGCAGCCGCGGUAAUACGGAGGAUCCGAGCGUUAGCCGGAUUUAUUGGGUUUAAAGGGAGCGUAGGUGGGUGGUGAAGUCAGUGGUGAAAGUUGCGGGGUCAACCCUCGUAUUGCCUUUGAUACUGGAAGCCUUGAGUGCAGUAGAGGUAGGCGGAAUGCGUGGUGUAGCGGUGAAAUGCGUAGAUAUCACGAAGAACUCCGAUUGCGAAGGCAGCCUACUGGACUGCCACUGACGUUGAUGCUCGAAAGCGUGGGUAUCAAACAGGAUUAGAUACCCGUGUAGUC